GAUGCUCCCAGAACCUGCGCAGCUAGCGGAUCCCGUCCGACAGCUGUGCUGGGCGCCCGAGAGAGCGCACGGCUCAGCCCACCCCGUCCCUUCCCCGGCCAGGAGCCACUCACAAACUCAAAGAUGAAGAGCAAGUCGGGCAAGGUGGUGAAGACCGAGAAGCCACUGGGCAGGGUGCUGCCCCCCGUCGCCGCUGCGGGGGCCAUGACGGCGUGCUGGCGUCGGCCUUGGGACGGGACGAGCGCCGCUCAGACUCCGCGCAGACCUCUCGCUGGCUCCGCGGAGCCCAGUGGCCUGGGCGCCCCCGCGCGCGGGUUAAGAGCAGGGGAGCCCGGGGCAGAAGAGGGAGGAGCCCCGGCCGCCGCCCAACCCCGCCCCCCGCCCCACGCCCCGGGAGACCCGGCCCGAGCGCCGCGGGCACCGCCCUGAACCUCUUCGAGGCCCCGCUGCGGGCGUCCAGAGCUGGGGACUGUGGGUCUGACUCCUGCGUUCCAGCCGUGGGUGCCACCUCUUGCGGGAAGCAGGGCAAAACCACUUUGGUCAGGCGCUCCUCGUGCCUUUCUCCCUUCGUAGGUGACCAGCAUCUCGUAAGAAUGAUAACCAUCAGUAACCGGGACCCCAAACCUUCUCAUCAAGGCACCUCUCGGGUCACCAUUACUUUAACUUUGAAUUUGGGUCUCCUUCAUUUUUCCGCUGGAUGCGUUAAUGUGCGCGACCCACAGCUCCAGGCGGCGGUUUCCUGGCGGAACUGGACCACCGCCACAGGCUGGGGGUCUGCAGUGGGGGAUGGGACCGGCCGCGGCCGCCGGCCCCUUCCGCGUCCACUGAGCCGGCGCUGGUUCGGCGCUGGGAUCCUGCACCGGGCCUCUCUGCUUGGUGCUGCGCGUCUGCCUGAGAGUAGGAGGUUGCUCCCAGCUGUGCCGGCCCCAGCAGAAGGCUGCUGGUGGUGGUGCUGGGGCAGGUCGGCCUUGAAUCCAUGCGACAGGAAGGGACGUUACCAGAAGAGAUUCAUCGCUUUCUCUUGGUCUGGGCAGCCCGGGCCUUUUGAGGGUGGGACCGCUGCUACCCCCACCCCCAGGUUCUUUGCCUGCCUGUUGACUGCCGGUGUUUCAUGUUUUGUUUCUCUGUUUCACUAUUUUUUAUUUUUUGCCUUAAAAAAAAAAGUAUUACCAUGCAGCAGUUGCCCAUUUAUUUUAAUUUACUAUUAAUAGUGUGAUUGCUGUGUUUCCUCCUACAAACACUGAAGCCUGAAAUCCGCCCGAGUCCGGAUUCUCGCCUGCCAAAAGGGAAUUGGCCCCGCAACCUCCAGCUUAGACUCCCAACUCUUCUUUCUUUCCAUUGGCAGCUGCUGCAGGCAGGACAAGGGGCUCCCCUUCUCUCCAGUGGGGCCUUCACCUCUCCCUGCUGCACAAUUCUUCCUCCUUCCCAGUCCCUAGGGAGAGAAGUAUAUUCGUGGACGCAUUUUCCAAAGCAAAAGUAGCACGCCCAUCAGCUGGCCAUUCUAAGUGCCUCUGGAAAGGGGCCAGGCAUUUGAAAUGAGAAAACCCCACUGUGCCUCUGUGAGCUGCCAGCCCGGACGGCUGCAACCAAGGUGCCAUUGUGUCGGGUCCCCAGGGCAGCAUCUCUCUGGACACAAUGGGCUGUGGGACUUUAGGAGCCCAGGUCCUCAUCCACCUUGGGCAUCUCAUAGCUCGUUAGUUGGACCUGCUGGCCUCUGAGAGGACAUCUUCUUCCUCCCCAGGAGACCGUCCUGGGAACAAGCCUUAAAGCAAGGUGGCCACAGGAAGCCGCAGCCUGAAGAGAGGAGGCACCGCACCGUGAAUUCCUAUACAGCAGAAGAUGGGACGGCCACCUGAGCCAACCCCACAGCUGACAGCUGAGCCUCCAGCGAAACCCAAGGCUGACACAACGUGAGUGCCUCACUGUGAGCUCUUACAAGGGGUCACUGUGGCCUUGCGAUGCUAGGGAAGGAAAGCAAAUUCAAAAAGCUUCCAGGGUUGUCAUCAGCAAAUAAAGUCUCUCAGCCCCAGUGGAAGCCCAGCCUUCAUGGGAACCCAGCUCUCAUGGGCUCACUCUCUCUACGGCUCACCAGACUGCCUGGUGCACUGACGGGGUCUCAUUAGCCCUUAGUCACCUGCUGAGGUGGCUCUAAAGGUUUCACCUCCGGUGGCCUCUCGGGCCUGUGAGGGAGGGCUGGAGCCCGCCCAGCUCAGAAGUAUGACAGGGCAGGCUCACCACUGGCACGUUCUGCUUGGGGUCAGGCCUGGUUCAGGGGUCCUGAGGGAUGGCUUAAAGCCCAGAGGCUCCAUUUCAUCGCUGGGAAGCGAACGUGGUUCACAGAAGUCCUGCCCAUGCAUCUGGACCUGCUGCACUAAUUCAGGGACUCGGUUCUUUCUGCUCUUUCUGUGUUGGGGAGGAAGGGGUCGGGAGUACAGGUGUGCGCUGCCACACCUGUCUAAUUUUUGUAUUUUUUUUUUUUGUAGAGACAGUGUUUUGCCAUGUUGCCCAGGCUGGUCUCAAACUCCUAGGCUCAAGCGAUGCUCCCUUCUUGGCUUCCCAAAGUGCUGGGAUUAUACGUGUGAGCCACCAUGCCAGGCGGCGGGUGUUUGUUCCUUUUUUUUUUUUUUUUAUUUUUUUUUGGAGACAGUCUCUCUCUGUUGCCUAGGCUGGAGUACAGAGAUGUGAUCUCUGCUCACUGCAACCUCUACUUCCCGGGUUCAAGCGAUUCUCCUGCUUCAGACUCAGUAGCUGGGAUUACAGGCACGCGCCACCACACCCGGCUAAUUUUUGUAUUUUUAAUAGAGACAGGGUUUCACAGUUGGCCAGGCUGGUCUUGAACUCCUGACUUCAAGUGAUCCGCCCACCUUGGCCUCCCAAAGUGCUGGGAUUACAGGUGCGAGCCCGCACCUGGCCCUGGUGGUGCUUCUUAACAAAGGUCAGUGGAUUUCUGGACUUUCUGAGUAACUUGUGGACAAAUGAAGAGAGUCCUCAGGGACUUUCUGAGCUUGGCUAAAUUUGAUAUUCACAAAUGAGAAGUUUGGUACCAGAGUUUUCUGAGGCUCCAAUUCAGGAUUUCCCUAAGAAAUCUGUCUGGAAAGCAGUGUCUAGCUUCUGGGCCUGAACCCAGGCACAUACGCGAGUGUGCACACACACACGGUUACAGUUUCUGCGAUUUUGAGAAAGGCCUCGAUAUCACACACGUUGUUGCCGUGGGUGUCUCAUGGUUUCCAGCUGCUCCUGCACUCAUAUUGAUGAAUACAGCCUUAGAGAGAUUUACUGCUUUCUUUUGUGGAUGGCUUUGUUCCUGCGUUGAUGUAUCAUUUCCAUUUCACCGUGGUCUGUGUGGUCAUCACGUUCUUCCUGCGUGGGAAAGCAGAAGCAAGUCUGGUGUACAGCGUGGAGCCAAGGAGGACAGCUUUUUCUCAACAGAAGCCCACAGGCAACUCAUGGCUGCAUUGGUGGUCCAGAGACUCUGGGAGGCUGGAGGAGGCUGCCAAAGAAUCUUCAGGGAAGGAGUCUCCAAGUGCACUAAUGGGAGUGGUGGCGGGGUCAGGAGAGUGUGAAGUUUGCUGGUGACAGCAGCAAGGUGUGCAGCACAAAGGAGACACGUAGGCUGCAGCCCCCACCUGAGCAGCGUCAGCACUGAGGCCAGGGUUUCACUUCUGUACCAGGGGGGAGUCUGGCAACACCUUCCUUCACAGCAGUUGCUCGAAAGACACAGACAAGCCAGGAUUCUGCCCCAAAUAAUAAUAAACACUGACGCUGUAGAUGUAAUGAGCCCUAGGACAGGCCUCCACCACACACACUGGAACGCCUCCCCCCAGGAAGAGAAGAGCUGCUCUGGUUCUCAUCACUCCCCUCACCCUAACAUGAGCCUCCUGGGCUGGUGUCUAGUCCUGAAGUUUAGUCAGUUAGCUCUGUUCACUUUGAUUAGUCCCAUGCUGAGGACAUUUGGGUGGGGAGAGACUUGGCAAUCUCUGGCAGACGCAGCAGCAGGCAACUGGGCUGAAGUGUAGGCUCAAGUUCUGCCCCAAACCCUCUCGAAGUGGCCUGGGAGAAAAUGACAAGCCAAGGGCAGUCCCUGACGAAGCUGUCCAAGGGCCAGUGUCACGGCCAUGCCAUCCUGCUCACAAUGCCAAUUGUUUUGUAAGAUUUCAAUGUUCUUUUGAUGAUGGACACAACACAAACACUCUGGAAGAGAUGAAAGGCGGAGCUUUUGGUUACUUACAGCUCCAAAAGAGAGCCAGCUGCCAGGCAGGGCCACACAGGGGACUCACCCAGGGACAACAGACCAGCACGCUGGGACUAUCUGGGCAGCUCGUACACGGCAAGCGGGGUGGCUUAGGUGGGCUUCAUGGGCCCCCUGGGAAUUGAUUCAUUGACACAAUAUUGCAGGCUCAGGAGGCUGGGAGCCAUCCCGGGUUGGUCUGGAACUUGACACCAGGCAGUUAGGGCAGGGGCAUGGUGGUCUGGAGAGAUGGUCAUAGUGGCAGCCCCCUAAGGGAAGGGGUUGGAAUGUGGACUUAACUGCUCAGGAAAGUAAACUAACUGGCAUCUAACCAGGGCCUCAAAACUGGUUCAAGACAGUAUAUAUAUAUAAUUUUAUUACAACUGGUUCUGGUGGCAGAGGCCUCUUCCAGGCCUGAGGAAGUAGCACCUCAGCACCCUGGACCUGCCCGCCCCUGCACACCAGAGAAGGACCCCAGGUCGAGCCCAGUCCUGGUGAUGCCAGUCUCCCUGACGGUUGUUAGCUCAGGCGUGGGCAUGCUACACAGCCCCUGCCAAUGAUAGAGUUGAUCUGCUCGGUUUCCACUGGCACAUUUACUCUAUCUGCAUCAAGCACCUGCUCUUUUCUAGGCACUAUUGUGUGAACAGGGAAUUCACACGGGAUAGAACAACAUCCCUUCCUCAGGGAGCUUCUGCCCUAGAGAGAGAGCUCUGCUGUGGGUCAGGGUGUUUUCAUCGACUCCCACUCACCCUGCUGGUGAAGGAGGGAUUCUCAUCCCAGGGUUAUGGGGAUGGCCCAACACACAACGUUGACACACUGGACAGAAGACACAGACAAAAGUUUCUGAGGCUUAUAUGCCCACAGCCUGGGAGAGGAGGACGCAGGGCCCAUGGGAGCUGCGGUGGGAGCAGAAGGACCUGGCACGGGCUGGGGGAGGCGGACUUUGCAGUACUAAGAGGAUGCGGUGGCCCUAGUUUCUAUCUGAUGGUGUGAUUGGCUUGUUUGAAUAAUUCUGUGGGCUGAUAGGGAAUGGAAAUGCAGGGACAAGCAGGAACUGUGACCGGCCCCCUUGAGAAGGAGGGUAGAGGUGUGCAGAGGGGAACUUGUGGUUAGGCCAUUCGAGGCCCUCCCGGUUUCACCAGAUGUCAAGGCAGUGCAUAAUGUCAUUAAUAAUAUUAGUUUUAGGCUUUACACCACAGAGGGCUGCUUCUGGGAUGUGGCUUUUUUAUGUCCUUAGGCCUUAUUGUGUAAAGAUAUGAUGCUUGGAGCUGCCACAGCCUCUGUGAGAAGAUGAGUGAAAAGCCACAGAAAUAACAGAGAGGCUGACUCGGGCCCUGACUAGGGUGGAGCUGCUGAAUUACUCAGUCUGGGGGUGCCGUGCCUCCAGCCUUUCCAUUUGUGGGAUGUGGCACUCAGUUCCUCAUUGUUUAGGCCUCUCUGGGUUGGGAUUCUAUUCCUGCCACUCAGAAGUAGCCUGGUCCUGUGCUCAUACUGUGUGAUCCUGUGUGUAUCAGUGGCCCCAGCUCCACGGUGCUGAGGAGCACAGAGCAGAUGUGGGUUUCUUCUGUGUUUGUGCAUUUCUCUGUGCAGAUGUGAUGAUAUCUCGUGUGCAUUCUUUUUUUUUUUUGGAGACAGGGUCUUGCUCUGUUGUUCAGGCUGGAGUGCAGUAGCACAAUCAUGGCUCACUGCAAUCUCGAACUCCUGGGUCCAAGUGAUUUUUCCUUCUCAGCCUCACGAAUAGCUAAAACUACAGGUGCAUGCCAUCAUGGCUGGAUAAUUUUAUUUUUAUUUUUUCGAAGAGACAAGGUCUCAUUAUAUUGCCCACGCUGGUCUUGAACUCCUGGCCUCAAGCGAUCCUCUCACCUCCGCCUCCCAAAGUGUUGCAAUUACAGGCAUGAGCCACUGUGCCUGGCCUGAUGUGCAUUCUAUACAAAAAAAAUAUAACAAGCCCCAAUGUCUCAUUGGAGGGUAACAGGAGGAGGAGUCUAUGGAGGGGCUGGCCAGUCCUGGAGCCAGAGUGUGGGCCUCUCAGGAGGGAUAUCCCACCUGGUCUGCAGGACUGGAGACCAGCAGGGCUGAGGUGAGUCCUGGGCCACUCUGGCAGCAGGGGAGGUCAGAGUCUGACCCCCACUGGGGAGACAGAUAUGAGGAAGCUUUAGAAGAGGGGAGCAUUCCCUCUGUUGUUGUCUCUGGUGACCUGAAGACCCAUCUAAGUGCUGACUGAUGACCAAGAGAACAAGGUGCUGGUACCCGUGACCUGGGCCACCAUGAGCCACUGCACCUGAAGGUAGGGAGCCCCUCUAAAGGAUGGCAGCCUAUCUCAUGGCCAAUGAUAACUUACCUGUGAGCUUGUUGGGGCUUGGGGGCUCUUCCUUGCAACCAAUGACUUACACGCAAGGUUGCUAGUACAAGGAGCUCUUUGUCAGGCUUCUGGUUGGUGGAUAGAGUCAUCUGAAGGCCACUUCUGUCCUCUAAGCCCCACCUGCCCUUCUGAGGAUUACAGGAUGGGCAUGGCCACUUAUUGAACAUGUAUUAACUGCCAAAGGCUUUUUACUCGUGAUCUCUAAACCUUACAACCUUCCUUAUAAACAAAGGAAGUGAUGCUCAGAGAGGCUAAGUGACUUUCCUAAGCCCACACAGCAAAGAAAUAGUGGAGCCUGAUUUGAACCCAGGUUCCUUCUUCAAUGCAGAGCCUGCUCUUCCCUCUGGCCACCAUCCCGUGUAUCCAAUGCUUUGAGCAGUUGCCUCAGUGGCAGGCUGGGCUGUUACUGCUUCUCUGAGCCUCAGUCCCCUCAUCUGUAAAUUGGGAUCACAAGAGUUGAGAAGGAGGUGCCUGGUGCCUGGCACAAAGCAGCUCUUGACUACCGAUGCCAGCCCCUCUGCAUGACCCGCCUCUGGGCCUUUAAAAAUUUUGGCAGUGGCUCACGCCUGUAAUCCCAGCACUUUGGGAGGCCGAGGCGGGUGGAUCACGAGGUCAGGAGAUCGAGACCAUCCUGGCUAACAUGGUGAAACCCCGUCUCUACUAAAAAUACAAAAAAUUAGCCAGGCGUGGCGGCGGGUGCCUGUAGUCCCAGCUACUCAGGAGGCUGAGGCGAGAGAAUGGCGUGAACCCGGGAGGCGGAGCUUGCAGUGAGCCGAGAUUGCGCCACUGCACUCCAGCUUGGGCGUCAGAGAAAGACUCUGUCUCAAAAAAAAAAAAAAAAUCUCUCUCUAUAGACUGGAGGCAAAGAAGAGGAUGGAGCUAAUAAUGAAUGAUGGCAGCAUGGAGUCAAGCCCGAGGUCUUAGAGAAAGUCACAGAUGACCGCGUCCCGUCAUCUGCCCACUGCAGAGCCCAAGGCACAGAAGGCCUCUCGCCGUCACAGCUCCAAGUGCUGGAGCUGGAGGCACACAGGCGGCAGUGUGUGAGGGGCAGGGCUGCCAAUGGGCUGUAGGCUUUAUGGCCUAGUGAGAGACCCUGGAAUGUAAUCUGGGCUUUCAUCGCUCUGCAGCUGGAGUAGGGCAGGUCACUGCCAGCCUGCGCUGGGCUGGACUGCUGGUCACCAGGGACCUCUAGACCUCUGUUCACAGCAGACUGCCAGGCCUAGAGCCCAGGGAACCCAAGGCAGGACUGAUGGAGUGGAGAGGAGGGAAAGGCGAGGCCCCCACUCCUGCAGCUCUGCAGGCUCCAGCAGCAUUAGAAAGGAAAACUGUUUUAAUGGCCUCCUCGAGGCGGAGGGAGUGGUGUUUAACAGGGCCUGAGGAAUGGGCCCUCAGUGAGCUCCAUGAGGCCUACUGGGUGCUGGAUCACAUGGCAUGAACACCAGAGCCCUCUACCAUCUGGAGACUGUGGCAAGUUCUUUCAUGCUCAUGGGUGAAGCAGGCAUCCUGGUGGUACUUCCCCGUGGGGUGGUUGAGGGGUUAAGGGAGGCUUUCCUGUCCUGAGCCCACCCCAUAUGAGUGGCUACUAAACGACGGCCUCAGCAUUCGUUACCCCUGGGAGGGCCUCCUGUCUCUCCUCUCUCUGCAUAAGCUGCCCCAGCCGCCUUCCCACCCAGCCUCCGGGCUUCCAGCCCCCAGACCUGGGAGACAUAAAUGUCUGUUGUUUCAGCCACCCAGCCUGUGGUAUUUGGUUACGGCAGCGUGAGUUGACUAAGACCCAAGGAGAGAGCCCACACCCCCGAUUUCCACUGGGAAGUGGCGGCAGCAGCACUCAGAGCUCUCAGGUCUUUGUACAGCAGUCCCUGGGCCAAGUCUUGCUGUAGAUGAGCUCCUAUCAGCUCUACCAGGGCAGUCAUGCUGGCAUGCCCACUGUAAGGAUAAGGAACCAGAGGUACAGAGAGAUGGAAAAACUUGCCUAGAAUCACAACGGUUAGAAAAUGGCAGAGGAGGGAUUUGCACUUUUGGGCUCCAGAGUUCACCGUCUUUUUUUGUUUUUGUUUUUGAGGCAGGGUCUCACUAUGCCGCUGAGGCUGCAGUGCAGUGGCGAUCAUGGCUCAGUGCAGCCUCGACCUCCCAUAGCCGGCUAAUGUUUUUUGCAUUUUUUUUGUAGAAAUGGGGUUUUGCCAGUUGUUGCCCUGUCUGGUCUCAAACUCCUGAGCUCGUGAUCCUCCUGCUUCUGCUUCCCAAAGUGCUCAGAUUACAGGUGUGAGCCAUGGUGCCCCGCCCAGAGUCCAGGGUCUUAACUACAGUGUUUGAUUCUGCCCCAAACCAGCUCAGUUGCCUCUGGGUCUCAGCAAUUCCAUUUUUAAACUUGUUAUUGAUAUACUCACAGUCUGUGAAAUUUACACAACACAUAAUUAUGUGAACACACUGCCAGGUCGCCUUGCAGGGCCAUGGAAGGGACUGGCCAGCAAGGGCCCAGCUGCUGAGGCUGCACAGCCCCACAGCAAAACGUCCCUGCGCUGAGCAGGGUUCAACCUUACAAAGAAUUGAAGAGUAGAUUUAUAUAAUAAUGGGAUACGUGAUGAAUUUUGAAAUUAUUGCCCAGAUAAUGAAACUUUGGAGCAAUAUAUAAAGAUUGUGACCCCUUGGGUAGGCAGGUGUUACCUUGACUAGACUUGCCCUCUUUAAGUUAUGGUUAUUCUUUUUAUUCUUUAUUCCACUUCUUUGCCCACAGUGCUGUGGGCUUUAGGGUCACUCUGGCUUCCUCUGACCGGCCCUGGAAAGGAGGCCUCCUUCAUGGCACCUUUUGUUGUCCUUGAAGAAAGUUUUUGUUACAGGAAAGGUUAACCAGAGGUUACUCUGCUUUAUAGAGUUAAUAUCUCACUCAUUAAACCCACACAUUCAAAAACCCAGUUUUUACUCAGGCAUUUAAUUUCAGCCAGCAAAUUGUAAAAUUGUACGUGUAUAUUUUGAAAAUUGUACAUAUUUUGUCUAACAUUUUUGGCAAUCAUUUUAAGGACAACUUUAUUUCUUAAUAAUUUCUUAAGGAUUAAAUUCCCUUAAACCUUUAGAAUUGUAUUUAUAAAUGUAAUAGUUUCUGUUUUUCCUGUAAGUAUUCUAAUUAUUAGAAUUAUUUAAAAUAUUCCUGAAUAUUUAAACAACUUAUGAAUCCAAUAGAUUAAAUCUAGAAAUAUGGUGUAUUUUGAGUUCUCUCAAGUCUUCUAUACUGCUUAUAAAUUUAGGACAUUUUAAGUAAAAAUCACAAAGCUCAGCUGAUGACAUAUUUUAAAUUAGAAGCAAAAAAGGUGAAUAUUUACUCCAUUAGGGCUAAUUUCUUUUAAACUUGAUGAAACACCUAGAAUUUGUAAACUAUGUGCAAACUUACAUGAAAUAUUAUUAUUUUGGGUUUGGUUUAUUUAAUAAUUCUCUACUUUAUUCUAACCCUCCCUGGGCCAUGGUGACUCAGAGACAGGGUCAGUGCACAGGCUGGGCCCAUGGAGAGCAGGGCAUCCAGAGCUUGUCAAGGGCUGCUGGCCAGAGCCUGCUCCCCUCACUGCUCUUUAAGUGACUGUAACAGAAACGGGUGGCCUUAAGCCAAGCUGAGCGGGGGUUUCAUUACACCUGCCUUGUAGGGAUUCUGGGAUUUGUCAUGGGGACACACUACAAUGUGUACCUACAAUAAGAUGGAAAGAUGUUCAAUUACACUCUAUACACAUAUACACAUGAAAGGGAGGGACCCCUUUUGCUUUGCCUGUGUGCAGUAGAUGCUUACACGGAGAGUUUGGUGUAGACAGACAGAGACAAGAGGCUCCGCAUUUCAGGGAGGAGCAGACCUCUACAGCGACCAAGGAGGAGGGCCAGAUACAACUAACUGGAAGCUGAGGAGCGGGUUCUCAACUUGACCCUCUGAGGGCACAGGAGACAUUACUGAGCAGGUGCACAGCUGUGCCAGAAUGAAAAUGUUCUGUGACAGAGACAAGAGCGCCUGCUGAGAGCGGAGCUGUCUCCAUGUGCAUGACCACAGCCACAGCCCUGUGACAUCAGGCAUGUGACACGCUUGCUGGCUGAUGAGGCCCAGAAAGGGCCUUUAGAGGUGGCUGCGAGGCAGCGCUGCAGUAGGAUACCCUUAUAAGGAAGCUUUUUGCCAGGACUGGGCUGGCGGCUGUCCUGGGAACCCCAAUCCCACAGUGCUUCUGGCUUUCCUCACCAUUAGCAUCUCCUUUCCUAGCAAAUAUCCUGAGAGCGCUUUGAGAUUGUGUUUUUCUCCUGGGGCAACCACCUGCAGAAUCUCCACGGAGGGGCUGGGAAAAUGCUUUGCAUGAUCCCUCAAAGCUCCCUUUCAUCGAGGGAGGAAAGGCUGAGAGGUGGGCCUCAGAAAGAGCUUCGUGGGGGCAGGAGCCAUCCUGGGGGUAGAAGAGGGGUGUAACUGGUCUAGUCCAUCCGAAGUAAGGGCUUUAAGGAGCCUGCUGGGAGAGUUUAACCUGGGACCCCCGCAGCAUGAGGGACAUAGAGACUGGCCUCAGACCCAGGCUUGGAUGAUCCAGAGGGUGAAGUCAGGCUGGCAGCCUGCUCUUAUGCUGGAGCCCAAGUGGGUCAUGGGAAAGAAGAGCCAAAGCGUUCCCAUUGACCAGAGGCCAGGUGAGAGAGUGAGGCGGCCCAAGGUGGUGGCAGCUCCUGUGGGAAGAGACCACCCCAGGGGCUGGAGGUGAGGCUGGCUGCCCAGGGGCCGAGGAAGGAGGGAGUGGCCAAUCUGAACAGAGCGGCCUUCUCCUCCUUAGGGUCUGUAGCCAAAGGUGCGCCGUGCAGCACCUGGAGUGGGGGGUGGUGGGGGAAAUCUCCGAAGGAGUCAGGAAAGCACCUCUGCCAGGGCCAGAUCCCAUCACAGGCAUCAGUGGGUGAAAGCGCUCCUGCUGCUUUCCUUUCUCCCUUUCCCGUCUCCAUACUGGAAGGGCUGGAAAUGGCUUUGAGGAGAAGGGGUGUGAAGAAGAGUUAGGCAGCCCACUGUGCCGCCCCGCCCUGGCUGCAGCAGGCUGGAGGGGGUUUAGGGGGUGAGGAGAGAAGGGGACUCAACACUGGAUCCAGUUUUUAUCACCCAAGAAUGAACAGAUCCCCUGCUGUGCUUUCAUCCAGAACAGGAACUGCCCUGGAAGAGAGCCCUCCUCCCAGCCCCAGAAGAAACCUCAGCUGUGUUCUUGUGCUGUGCGUCCAAGAGAAAGAUGAUCAGAGCCCAGCGGCUGCAUGCCUAAGCUUCCAUGCUCUAGUGGCCACAUUAGAAAAAGUGAAAUGGAACAGACAGAUACUUGCUUUGUCACCCAGGCUGGAGUCAGUGGCACCAUCUCAGCUCAUCGCAAACUCCACCUCCCAGGUUCAAGGGAUUCUUGUGCCUCAGCCUCCCAAAUAGUUGGGACUGCAGGCAUGCACCACCAUGCCCAGCUAAUUAAAUGAGUCUUUGUAUCUAAUUCCUAAAUUCUCCUCAUUCUGCUCCUUCACAUUUAAAUCGACCCCCAGACAGGAUCAGGACCUCCUGGCCUUCUUGGAGAUGUGGGCUCUAUGCAGGGAUGACAGAAGCCAAUGUCUGGAGCCCUCCCCCAACACUGCAGAGCUGGAGCCUGCUCAGAGCUCACAAGUCAUCAAGGAAAAUCCCCUGGGCCCUCAGAGAUAUGACCACUGGACCUACAGGGUUCUGACUAGGGCCAACCCCUUUGCAGAAGUCAGCAAUCCCUGGGAACCUAUGGGGGUGUCAUGUAAUACCUGCCACAUCAACUGACAAGUAGACAUCCCAAUGGCCAUGGAAAAAAUGUCUGUGCCAGGGCUUAGAUCCUCUGAGGCUCUAUAACACUGCUAUUAAAAUAGUCACUGAGCCUAAUAAAAAGUAUAAUCAUCUCCAUUUACAUCAUGAUGUGGAAUCCUGAAAUGGCAAUUUUUAGUUCUUGGUGAAUCAAAGUACACAGAUUCUUGAGAAGGACACAGCCCCUAAAGAGACUUGGGUCCCCUCCUGCAGUUGCCACCCUCCCAGGUGGCCAGUGCAGGCACAAAGAUCUGCCACUCGCUGCUUAAACCCCCACCCAUGGGGAGCCCCCCAUUCACUGUGGGAAGUCAUAGGAACUGCCAUGCCAGUGAGCCAGACCCGGCCCAGGCCCUGCGGUCAGUCACCUGCCACCUGGCUGCUGCUGUGCCUGUGAUCCUCUUCACGCUCUUCCCAGCCGACUCUCCCUGUAGGCUGCCCUCAACUUCUAGAGCGCCAGCCAGGGUGACUCUGGUCCAUGUGCUUGACCAGUGAUCAUUCUAGUAACUUUCUGGAGGUCCCACUUUCUAGGAGGCCCCUGGUAAGUCUCUGCCUUCCACUUCCAGCUGGGACCAGUGACCCCCUCACCUUAAGAAGUGAGGCCCCUGGCCCUGCCUCAUUCUGCGCCUGCCUUCCAGGUUCUUGAGAGCAGGAGGGCCUGGUCCAGGGCCAGGCACCCAGCGGAUGCUCAGCAGAUAUGUGUGCAAUAGAACUAAGCCUUCGAACUUUUGCUGAGCACCAUGGCUGUCCCAGCAGUCAUGUGUUCCCAGGGUUGUGCCCUUUCCUGAAGAUCUCAGCUUCUCCCACAUCUGUGUCUCAUGAAUCUACACCAGCAGAGCCUGGCUCAGCAGGGACCCCAGGGGAAGGCGCAGGCAUCUGUAAUCCCAGCACUUUGGAAGGCCGAGGUGGGCAGAUGGCGUGAGCUCAGGAGUUCAAGACCAGCCUGGGCAACAUGGCGAAACCCUGUCUCUACAAAAAAUACAAAAAUUAGCCGGGCAAGGUGUUGGGCACCUGUAGUUCCAGCUACUUGGGAGGUUGAGGCAGGAGAACAGCUUGAACACAGGAAGUGGAUGUUGCAGUGAGACAAGAUCAUACCACUGCACUGUAGCCUGGGCAACAAAGCGAGACUCCGUCUCAAAGAAAAAAAAAAAGAAGAAAAAGAAAAUGGACCCUGGGUUUGACGGGGACCUCAUGACACGACCUGCCCUCUCAGUGCACGAAAGUGGUCCAGGGGCUCUUCUUGAAUUUCCCCUCCGCUCUCCCUCUGUCCCUCUCUCAGAGGUGGUAGUGGCCUGGGAGGUCCUUGGAGGGGAUCUUUGCAUACCCACCAGUCCACAGCGAAGUAAACUGAGGCACAGAGGGAACGGCAUGUGCCCAGGAUGGGGGGUGUAGGUGCUCGCUGGAGCAGCCCCUUCUCGGACCCAGGGGCAGAAUUUCAUCAGUGGCUAGGGCCGAAUAACAGGACCCCGGGUGCGAGAAACGCCUGUGUAAACGCCUCUCAGAGGGCCCUGGAGAAGGAGGGUGGGAGCCGCGAAGUCAGGGCGCCCCUGGAAGCUUCUAGAGAUCUGGGCGUACAUCAGACAGCAGCGGCUGAAGAAGGAAACAGGCUGGCUUCUAAUAAUGUGCAGACAGUCUCGAUCCUUCUCCCGUAGCUCUGCGAGCCCAUGUUCCUGGCCACGGUCCCUCAGCCGCCCUGGAAGCCGCCGGCACCAGCCGGUGUUCUGCUUCAGAGCGGGCGCGCGGUGACCGGACUGACAAGGAGGGGCUUCAUGCGAAAGUCCCC
RNAcentral lists this long non-coding RNA (14158 nucleotides) under Homo sapiens (human). RNAcentral's name for it is "non-protein coding lnc-MRPS5-2:3". The record is from RNAcentral. Lineage: Eukaryota; Metazoa; Chordata; Mammalia; Primates; Hominidae.